Molecule: ribosomal RNA, 499 nt
Filed under: uncultured bacterium
Lineage: Bacteria
Description: partial 16S ribosomal RNA
Rfam family: Bacterial small subunit ribosomal RNA
Source: RNAcentral
ACUCAAAUGAAUUGACGGGGGCCCGCACAAGCGGUGGAGGAUGUGGUUUAAUUCGACGCAACGCGAAGAACCUUACCUGGGCUUGACAUCCCGUGACCGCUCCAGAGAUGGAGUUUUCCCUUCGGGGACACGGAGACAGGUGCUGCAUGGCUGUCGUCAGCUCGUGUCGUGAGAUGUUGGGUUAAGUCCCGCAACGAGCGCAACCCUUGUCCUUAGUUGCCAUCGGGUCAAGCCGGGCACUCUAGGGAGACUGCCGGUGACAAGCCGGAGGAAGGUGGGGAUGACGUCAAGUCCUCAUGGCCUUUAUGCCCAGGGCCACACACGUCCUACAAUGGCGCGUACAAAGAGCAGCAAGCCAGCGAUGGUGAGCGAAUCUCAAAAAGCGCGUCUCAGUUCGGAUUGCAGUCUGCAACUCGACUGCAUGAAGUUGGAAUCGCUAGUAAUCGCGCAAAAGUAUGGCGCGGUGAAUACGUUCCCGGGCCUUGUACACACCGCCCGU